This 405-nucleotide unclassified non-coding RNA is filed under the name soil metagenome. RNAcentral's name for it is "partial contains 5.8S ribosomal RNA, internal transcribed spacer 2, and large subunit ribosomal RNA". The stretch from base 1 to 121 matches the Rfam family "5.8S ribosomal RNA", at positions 35 to 154 of the family's 154-position model. The record is from RNAcentral.
GAUGAAGAACGUAGCGAAAUGCGAUAAGUAAUGUGAAUUGCAGAAUUCAGUGAAUCAUCGAAUCUUUGAACGCACCUUGCGCCCUUUGGCCAUUCCGAAGGGCAUGCCUGUUUGAGUAUCAUGAACACCUCAACUCUUUAUGGUUUUCCAUGAUGAGCUUGGACUCUGGGGGUUUUGCUGGCUCACAGUCGGCUCCUCUAAAAUGAAUCAGCUUACCAGUGUUUGGUGGGUAUCAUGGGUGUGAUAACUAUCUACGCUUGUGGUUUUUCCACCAGGUAACCUUCAGCAGUGGAGGUUCGCUGGAGCUCAUAGAUGUCUCUCCUCAGUGAGGACAGACCUUUGAAUGUUUGAUCUCAAAUCAGGUAGGACUACCCGCUGAACUUAAGCAUAUCAAUAAGCGGAGGA